UUAUUCAAUUCAAAUUCAAGCUGUUAAAUCGAGGCUCUCAGACUCCUGCUGCCUGGCCAGUGGAGAAAUUAACUUUCACAUAUGGCUUUGGGAUUUCUCUCUGUCAUCCUGGUCGACGUGUUCUCUCAUUUUUCUGAAGUCUGGGACCUCAACACAGACAUCUGGGUGAAGGCCUUGACAGCAGCGCUGGUGCAAAAUGAAUUGUCACAUCACACCCAACGUUCUCAACCUUUAGAAUCUGAAAGUAAGAAAAACACCUCAAACUAUCACAUUUACAGAUUGAUUCUGAGUAAUCAGCACAGAUUUCUAAAAGAAACUUUAUGGGAUGCUGAGACAUGAAUAAAAACAACUUUAUUCCUUUGGAAAGGACAACCCACAUGCUAAGAAGAUGACACUACACGUUGUUAUAGCCCGAAAGGCCCUCUUUCCACAGGGGAGCAGUGAAAAGUAGAGGUUGCCCAUGUGGAUUCCCAAGUCAGAUAGAUGUGGAUUCAGAUCCCAGCUCUGCUGCUUGCUACCCAAGAGACCAUGGACUGUGGACUCUUUAGGUCUCAGGGUUUUUGUUUGUUGUCUGUUUUUCACUUCCAAAACCAGAAAAUGAGAAGAUAUUUUCCAUAAGAUGGCGGUGGAGAAGAGAACUUGAUGGACCUUGCUUGGACAAAAUGCCUUCACCGCUAACUCAGUCAGCUAUGGCGAUGGGUCAAGGACCUGGUGGUUUUACAGAGAAGACCCUUGGUCAAAUCUUUGUGAAUGAAGCAACCAUUCUGAUGUUCAAUAACAGGAAUGCACCAGUUUAUACCAAACUAUCUGUACUAUUGAGAACAGCAAAAAUAUCUGACCAAAAACACCAAAGAGUGACAUUUUAAAAGACAUCAAAGAACUCUCAAGGCUUCCAGAGUUGGAAAGAUCAAGAAAGAGAGAAUGCAACUUCAUUAAGACACAAAAAGGAACAGGAUACAGAAGUGGAGGCAGUUCAGCGAAAAAGAUGAGAAGAAGGAGAAUGUCCACAAAUAAAUUUCACUUAUAAAAGUUCAGAUAAAAA
Long non-coding RNA from Homo sapiens (human), 1042 nucleotides. Ensembl annotates it as long intergenic non-protein coding RNA 2347. The record is from Ensembl. NCBI's taxonomy places the organism in Eukaryota, Metazoa, Chordata, Mammalia, Primates, Hominidae.